RNAcentral lists this ribosomal RNA (488 nucleotides) under uncultured bacterium. Its description in RNAcentral is "bacterial SSU rRNA". It matches the Rfam family "Bacterial small subunit ribosomal RNA", at positions 1 to 507 of the family's 1533-position model. The record is from RNAcentral.
CGACGUAGUUUGAUCAGUGCUCAGAAUCACGCUGGCGGCGUGCCUCAGACAUGCAAGUCGAACGAUUAAAGCUCUCUUCGGAGAGUGUAUAGAGUGGCGCACGGGUGAGUAACACGUAAGUAAUCUACCCUCGAGUGGGGAAUAACAACCGGAAACGGUUGCUAAUACCGCAUAAUGCAGCGGCACCGCAAGGUGACAGUUGUUAAAGAUUUAUCGCUUGAGGAGGAGCUUGCGGCAGAUUAGCUAGUUGGUAGGGUAACGGCUUACCAAGGCUACGAUCUGUAACCGGUCUAAGAGGACGGUCGGUCACACUGACACUGAAUAACGGGUCAGACUCCUACGGGAGGCAGCAGUCGGGAAUUUUGGGCAAUGGGCGAAAGCCUGACCCAGCAACGCCGCGUGAAGGAUGAAGUAUUUCGGUAUGUAAACUUCGAAAGAAUAGGAAGAAUUAAUGACGGUACUAUUUAUAAGGUCCGGCUAACUACGUG